This 392-nucleotide ribosomal RNA is filed under the name uncultured bacterium. RNAcentral's name for it is "partial 16S ribosomal RNA". It matches the Rfam family "Bacterial small subunit ribosomal RNA", at positions 523 to 918 of the family's 1533-position model. The record is from RNAcentral.
AUACGGAGGAUCCGAGCGUUAUCCGGAUUUAUUGGGUUUAAAGGGUGCGCAGGCGGCCAUUUAAGUCAGCGGUUAAAUCGUGGGGCUCAACCCCAUUCUGCCGUUGAUACUGGGUGGCUUGAUUGCGGUCGAGGUUGGCGGAAUUCGUUGUGUGGCGGUGAAAUGCAUAGAUAUGACGAAGAACACCGAUUGCGUAGGCAGCUGACCAGACCGCAAAUGACGCUCAUGCACGAAAGUGCGGGGAUCGAACAGGAUUAGAUACCCUAGUAGUCCGCACAGUAAACGAUGAAUACUUGUUUUCGGCGAUAUAAUGUCGGAGGCAAAGCGAAAGCGAUAAGUAUUCCACCUGGGGAGUACGCCGGCAACGGUGAAACUCAAAUGAAUUGGCGGGG